RNAcentral lists this ribosomal RNA (440 nucleotides) under uncultured bacterium. Its description in RNAcentral is "bacterial SSU rRNA". It matches the Rfam family "Bacterial small subunit ribosomal RNA", at positions 29 to 506 of the family's 1533-position model. The record is from RNAcentral.
AUGAACGCUAGCGGCGUGGAUACUGGCAUGCAAGUCAAGGGGCCCGCAAGGGCACCGGCGAACGGGUUAGUAACACGUAGAUACAAACCGCGAACACAGGCAUAACUCAUCGAAAGAUGAGCUAAUUCCUGAUAGUCCCGCAAGGGUAAAGGCGCAAGCCGGUUCGUGAUUGGUCUGCGGCCUAUCAGCUAGUUGGUGAGGUAAUGGCCCACCAAGGCUAUGACGGGUAGGGGGCAUGAGAGUGUGUUCCCCAACAAUGGAACUGCGACACGGUCCAUACUCCUACGGGAGGCAGCAGUCGAGAAUAUUCGACAAUGGGCGAAAGCCUGAUCGAGCGACGCCGCGUGUAUGAUGAAGCUCUUAGGAGCGUAAAGUACUUUUUUUAGGGAAGAAUCCGCAAGGAUGACGGUACCUGAAGAAUAAGGGGAUGCUAAUCACGU